This 700-nucleotide ribosomal RNA is filed under the name uncultured bacterium. RNAcentral describes it as "bacterial SSU rRNA". It matches the Rfam family "Bacterial small subunit ribosomal RNA", at positions 8 to 703 of the family's 1533-position model. The record is from RNAcentral.
AGAGUUUGAUCAUGGCUCAGAUUGAACGCUGGCGGAAUGCUUUACACAUGCAAGUCGAACGGCAGCACGGGGGCAACCCUGGUGGCGAGUGGCGAACGGGUGAGUAAUACAUCGGAACGUGCCCAGUCGUGGGGGAUAACGCAGCGAAAGCUGUGCUAAUACCGCAUACGAUCUACGGAUGAAAGCGGGGGAUCGCAAGACCUCGCGCGAUUGGAGCGGCCGAUGGCAGAUUAGGUAGUUGGUGGGGUAAAGGCUCACCAAGCCGACGAUCUGUAGCUGGUCUGAGAGGACGACCAGCCACACUGGGACUGAGACACGGCCCAGACUCCUACGGGAGGCAGCAGUGGGGAAUUUUGGACAAUGGGCGCAAGCCUGAUCCAGCCAUUCCGCGUGCAGGAUGAAGGCCCUCGGGUUGUAAACUGCUUUUGUACGGAACGAAAAGCCUUCUUCUAAUACAGGAGGGUCAUGACGGUACCGUAAGAAUAAGCACCGGCUAACUACGUGCCAGCAGCCGCGGUAAUACGUAGGGUGCGAGCGUUAAUCGGAAUUACUGGGCGUAAAGCGUGCGCAGGCGGUGAUGUAAGACAGUUGUGAAAUCCCCGGGCUCAACCUGGGAACUGCAUCUGUGACUGCAUCGCUGGAGUGCGGCAGAGGGGGAUGGAAUUCCGCGUGUAGCAGUGAAAUGCGUAGAUAUGCGGAG